GCAGGAUGGUGUGGCUCACGGUAUCGAAGGCUGCACUCAGGUCGAGGAGGAUGAGGAUGUUGAGGGAACCGGUGUCAGCAGAGGUGAGGAGGCCAUUGAGGACUUUGAUGAGUGCCGUUUCUGUGCUGUGACGUCACUUUAAAAUG
Molecule: long non-coding RNA, 146 nt
Organism: Notothenia coriiceps (black rockcod)
Lineage: Eukaryota; Metazoa; Chordata; Actinopteri; Perciformes; Nototheniidae
Exons: 3
Source: RefSeq, a predicted model, not a curated record